UUUUGGGAUUUAUUUAUUUUUAACCAUCUUAUCAGCAUUUUAGGAAAUUUUAAACCUGCUUACGGCCUCUCUCCUUAUCUGAGUGAUUCCUAAUAACAGAUUUGCAGCAAUGACUUGAGUUGGAAAGCAUGCACUGAGCAGUUGUUAAGACCUCAAAUUCACUCUGGUUUAGACCAACUUCACCAAAGACACCCAUCCUGAACAAAAAAUAGCCUUUCUUCCAUCUCCUUUCACUCUGGGCAGGAAGAAAACUUUAGGUCAGGCUAUAAAUUGAUCUGGAAAGUCACUGCCAGUGCAUUGUAGCUGGCUGAAUUAUUCCUGCAUGCUGUGGGGAGGAAGGAGGCUGUUUUUUUCCAAGCCCAAUGCCAGGCUGGCUCUCACAUGCCCCCCAGUCCUGUUGGGCAGAGCAGGCAGGAGCAGAUCCAGGACAAUAACGGGAAGCAAAGCAAGCCUGUAGGAGCACACAAGGAAAUGAUCUGAGCCUCAAUCAUUUCCCUCCAUCCCUCAAUCCUUUCCCUCCAUUCCCAGUCAUCUUCAGGACUGUCGAGAAAAGGUGGACAAACCUCUUGAACUCCUCCAACCUCCUUUCUGUUGCUGAAAAGAGACAGCCAAAAUACCACUUUACUUUUUUUUUUUUUUUUUUUCCGUGUCUGGUACAUGCCAAGAGUGCCAGGAUCUCCAGAAUGCAUAUUGUUGCUCACAGUAAAAUUUCCCACAAAUGUUUUCAGAUUUUGGAAGAAAAUGGAUAACAGAAAUAAAUUUGGCUUGUGAUUUCCAGGUUGUCAUCGUUUGUUGUCAUUUGGGCUUUGUAAUGCUGGAUUUUGGCAGUGUGGAUGUUUUACAUAACUGCCAGCUUCUGAAAUGUAACUUUUUGUCAGAAAAUAAUGCAGCUUCCUCUUUUCUAAUCAGAAAACGGAAAAUCAAGUAUAAAUGACACCACCCACCCUAUACUGACGAUAAAGCAUUCUGUGGAAGUUUCAAUGGAAAAAAUUCUACCCUUUUUUCCCCUUAUCAGAAACCUCCUCCACUUUGGAGACUGAGACCCAGCAGGGUCCUGGCUCUGCAGACUUGCCUGACAGUGGGUCUUGCACACCCAAGUUUCAAGCUUUUGCUGUGUGUUUUGGGAGAUUUUUUGAAACUUAUCCUAAAUAAAUGCUGUCUUGGCCCUUGGGCUUCUACUGAUUUCAGUGGCAAAAAAAAAAAAAAGAAAUCACCAAGUGAAAAGGACCUAGUCAAAGCACAUCCAGGUUGCACAGCACAGCCUGCUCCUCUCCCGCUUCUGAAGCUGUUUUUUUCAGUACAUCUGCAGCCUAAACCUGGCCACAUUUUUUCCAAAAGCUGGCACCUUGUAUCAAAAUAAUGAAUUUCAACCCCAAAUAAGGAAAAAAAACAUGCUGCCAUGAAAUUCUGAUGAAAUUGGAGAGGAUAUUUUUCAGUCCUAGUCCUGGUGCAGAUGUUCUGAGGCAGGUGUUCAAUGUGCAAACCUGUGCUCCCACAGCAUUUUGGCUCACCAAACCGUGGUGCUUCUCUAGGUGUGGGAGCUGUGACAGGGAGGGGAUGAGGUCACCCUUCAGUCCCUGCAUCCAGGGUUCAGAGGGGUCAUCUGGCACAGCCUGGCUUAUGCCUUAAGCCGGUGGGAGGACCACCAAAGGCUGAAGUCCCUCUUGUUAAUCACUCCUCCGGCAGCAGCUCCUUUGCCCUGAAAGAUCCCUGACCUCACCUCAGGAACAGCGAGCAGCACUGAGCACUGACAUCAUGCCCAUUUUUCCUUUAUGGUUUUGACUACAGAGCCUGCAUGUCAUUCUCAGGAUGCUUGCCCUUCCUCACCCUGUGGAGCUGUUGCUUUGACUGCCCCGUUUCUCUGUGCAUCCCAUUUAAGAACACAGGACUGGGAGCAACUUCCAAGCCAGUUGUCUUGUACCUUGCUAACCUCACAUCACUGCUUUCUUCAUCUCCAAAAAGACUUUAACAUCCCAAUUUCUCCCUUUAGCCUGUGUGCAGUUUUAGUUUCUGGAACCUUUCCUGAUGAAUUCAUCCUCUCCUGUUGGGCUUCACAGUCCUCACAACCUGGAAAAGAUCCCGAGGUUUCACAUAUCUGUUCAGAGCAAAGCAAUUAUCCGUGGCUCUGUCACUGAUAUAGGGCAACACAAAAAUGUUGGGAAUCUGUUAAAGGCAGAUUCCUGCGAGGGCUUUCCCUUCUCCUGCAGUCCCAGCUGCUGCCAGGGGAUGGAGCGCAGCUCAGCCCACAGCUGGAUCCGCACCCCAGCCCGCAGCUGCCGGGGCCGCAAAAACGGGAGAAAAACUGAUAAAUACAGACCGUGUUGGAGAGGAGCUCCCUGGAGAUGUGAUGCUGGAGUAAGGCUUUGCACCGAGGCCAGGGGACCAGCAGAGCUGGGGCAGCAAGGAUGGCUGGAGCGAUGAGAACAAGCUGCCUGUCAGCCCACAGGCUGCUCCUGCAUGGCCAGAGACCUGCACUGAGGCUGCACUGGGUCCACGAUGCUGCUCUUGCUCUUCUCUUUCUUUAAAGGUUGUUUUCCUUCAGGGAAGAUUUUGGUUGCCUUUCUGAGCCUCCUUGGAGCUGGGACUGCCAGUCUGGCUCUCACAGUCCAGGGCACCCUCAGCACCAGUUCAUUGUCCCCCUGGAGCCCACCUCCUUUCUGUGCACUCUGCCCUGUAUUUCCUCUGAUGUAGCAGAGACCUAUGACUUGUUUUGGGUUGCGUGGGCCUGUGUUUUCAAGUCAAAAAUCACCUUUUUGAGUAGACCAAGGUUUAGGUUUGCAAUAACCUCCAGCUGCAGACAACCUGUGUUGUGCAGCAACACCCCGGGCUCUUGUGGCUCGCCCUGGCACUGAAGGGCUGCCAGAGCAUAGAUACCUAUCCUGAAUGAAAUAUUACAGAUUCAAACUGGGACAUCUCCCCACCCAGCUUUGCCACAGGGCUGGUUCUCAAAUCCUCACUUCCACGCAUCACAUUUUAUGGGAUCAUGGUCCUCAUCCUCGGCCAUGACACAGCUUUCACCAGCUACUCAGCUAUUGGGGGACAGCAUUACCCCAGCCAGUGCCUCCUCAUGGGGAUGAGGCCCUAAUGAGGGUUAUGAAAUGAUGCUACAGCCAGCAGAGGGAGUGCUCAGAGCUCCAGGAUGCACAGGGACACCUUGGGAAGUGCCGAGAAAAUGUACUAAACCCAAAGCAGGAGUGAUGGGGUGCUGAAACAGAGGCUCUCCCUGGCUCAGCUGCCAGCCUGGUGAGGUUCAGGAUGGGGAAAUGGAUCUGUCAUGAACCCUCCUGGAAACCUUGGGUAUUAGAUGAGCCAGUGAUGAGGAUCCACAAUGAGAGACAUGCUUGAGCCUCUUAGACUUGAGGAAUUUUACAGAGCCUGUUCUAAACUGCCAAAUGAAAUCCCCGCAUGCAUUCAGUUCUGGCUUUGGGCUCUUAACUUUGGGCUCUGGCCUUUCCAAAUGAAAUCGCUGCUGCAUCUCAACUAAUAAGGAGCCACUCCUACAGCAUUUCAUUUCCAAAGCAAUUGUCCUUGUGCCUCACAUAGGUGCUGGAAUCAGGAGGCAGUCUGUGGGCUGGGAGUUGUGGAAAGCUUAGGCUUGGCUCUGCCCACCAAACAAAUAUUUAAAGUAGAUCUUCAUUUGAUUUUAGGCCAAACAGAGCAGAAUUAAAGACUUAACAUCUAGCAAUAUCUGUAACAGUCUCUUAAAUUAUUCUCCAGGAAAUGCCUCAGUGGUGGCGGGGGCUCUCCACUCAAUGUUAGAAAUAGAAUCAGUUUCCCAAAUGCACAUCAUCAAAGACUCAUGCCUGCUCCUUUCCUAACCAUGUGAAUUCCCCAGAUUUUUAAAUGAAGCCCUUUCAAGCACCAAUGGGCAAUUUUGCAACUCAUCUCUAAGGAGAUCAAUAACUAAAAGCAAGGUAAUGAAGUCAGGUGUCUCUGGAUUGUGUUAGGACAAGUCCAUGAGAGGAUUCUGAUGUGGAUGAGAUAAAUGCCAUUAAAUCACUUGCAGGGUGAGGUUUAAGUGGGGAAAGCCUUGCAGUGAGUGUUGGGAAGGUGUUGUGCAUGGGAGCACCACCGCGGGCUGAUUAACGCUGUAUGCAAACCCCAUUGCAAGCCUGAUAAGAGACAAUGGGACACAUUUUCACCACUAAAUACAUCAGGGAUGAAAGGGACCUGGGAGCUGGGGGAAGAAGCUGAAAAGAGCACCAGGAAUGAUCUGACCUGCCUGAAACCUGCUUUUCUACUGAAGAGGAAGGAAGCUUGCUCUACAUAUCUGAAAAAAAAAAAAAAAAAAAAAAAAAUGAGAGAGACUUGGUGGCAACGAAGAUGGUGGUUCUGAGAAGAGUCCUGAUGGUGCACAGUGGCCAAAUGCCUUCUGAGAUUUAAUGUCUAGAAAGUGAAGUUAAGCCCAUCUGGUCUGGAGUGACGUUUGGUGGGCAAGAGGCAACUACUCAGAGGGAUAGUCCAGUUAUCAACAGGUAAAAAUUUGUAGGGUUUGAAUCAAUGGAAGAUGACACAUGUUCAGUGGAACAGAGCCAAGGCCAGAGAACAUCUCUGAUUGAAACCCUCCCCUUUUGCAGCCAUACCCCAUUACAGCUGAGAUGUGGCAGUGAGCCUUGCCACCAGCCCAGACAGCCUGUUGAUCUUACUAUUCCCUUCUCAAAGCCAGGAUCAAAUGAGGAGAAUAAAUCCAUAGGAAGGAAAUGCUUCCUCCUACCUGCAGCUGCUUUCCAAUUCGAUCUUCCUCCCUGGUCAGGAGAAAUCUCAUGCAGCUCUGCAGCAGAAGACACUGUCUGUCCCACAAACUCUGUCACAUGCUGUGAGUUGGUCCCAGCUUUUAGGUGGAGAUGCCUUGACCCAAGACAGCCUGGUAUUUCCAGGUUAUAGUUACUCAAAAUAAGUCUGAGAGAAAAGACAGCACUUGCUUGUGAUGUGGACAACUCCUUCAAGAGCUGAGCCUGUCUCAUUCAUAGCAAACUGGGACUUGGCAGCCUUCAUGAAAAUAUAAAGGCCAGACCAGUGAUAGGUUCAGUGAAGGAGUAGGAAAAAAGGCAAUGCAAAAUGGCUCAAGCAGUGAUUCAUUUGGACUUUUAUUAUGAUUAACUUGAAAUCAGCAAGGUUUUGUCAGCAAGUCCAUUUUAUACAUGAACAGCCCUCUAAAAUCAGUCUUAGAUGGUAAUAUCUUCUACAUGUGCUACUGCAGAUUCCCUUUCUGACAGCAGCUGAUGGCCGGUGCAGAAGCAGGAGAAAACUCCAUCCUGCAGAGUGGUGGGAACUCUGAUGUGGGAUCUUUCCCCUUGACUGCCACACCCCAACCCUGCAACCCGUGCUGCAAACCAUUUCAUUCAGAUUUUAAACCUGGAUGCCAAAGAGAGCAUCCUCUGGGCAGCCCAGCACAGAUGUGGGCUCCAGCUUGGGCACUCACUGGGGCACAGUGAGGUUCAACACACCAGGCUUUCCUGACAGAAACUUCUCAUCAGGGCCACAGGUCUCCCAGCUUCAUAGCAGAGCUGCUCUUCCCCACUCCAUCUGGGAGUUGGGGCUUGCAUGCUUUGCUUUACCUUCCUGACAAAAUUACAAAGGGCAGCAGGAUGGCAGAGUUCAGGAACAGCCCGUUGAGGUGAGAGUUUUCUGUCAGAGAGCCCUGGAGCAGCCUGCAUUAUGAAAAAAGGCUGUGUCUGGGAGGCUGGUUCCCCAC
Molecule: long non-coding RNA, 5695 nt
Filed under: Taeniopygia guttata (zebra finch)
Lineage: Eukaryota; Metazoa; Chordata; Aves; Passeriformes; Estrildidae
Description: lncRNA (ENSTGUG00000025194.1)
Source: RNAcentral